Molecule: ribosomal RNA, 439 nt
Filed under: uncultured bacterium
Lineage: Bacteria
Description: SSU rRNA
Rfam family: Bacterial small subunit ribosomal RNA
Source: RNAcentral
AGAGCGAACGCUGGCGGCAGGCCUAACACAUGCAAGUCGAGCGCCAGGCAAUGGGAGCGGCAGACGGGAUAGUAACACGUGGGAACGUACCUUUCAGUUCGGAACAACCCAGGGAAACUUGGGCUAAUACCGAAUACGCCCGUAAGGGGAAAGAUUUAUCGCUGAAAGAUCGGCCCGCGUCUGAUUAGCUAGUUGGUGGGGUAAUGGCCCACCAAGGCGACGAUCAGUAACUGGUCUGAGAGGAUGAUCAGCAUCACUGGGACUGAGACACGGCCCAGACUCCUACGGGAGGCAGCAGUGGGGAAUAUGACAAUGGCGCAAGCCUGAUCCAGCCAUGCCGCGUGGAUGAUGAAGGCCCUAGGGUUGUAAAGUCCGUUUCGGCGGGAAGAUAAUGACGGUACCCGCAGAAGAGCCCGGCUAACUUCGUGCCAGCAGCCGC